Molecule: ribosomal RNA, 459 nt
Filed under: uncultured bacterium
Lineage: Bacteria
Description: partial 16S ribosomal RNA
Rfam family: Bacterial small subunit ribosomal RNA
Source: RNAcentral
CCUACGGGAGGCAGCAGUGAGGAAUAUUGGUCAAUGGGCGGAAGCCUGAACCAGCCAAGUAGCGUGCGGGAUGAAGGCCCUACGGGUCGUAAACCGCUUUUGCACGGGGAUAACACCCUCCACUUGUGGAGGUCUGCAGGUACCGUGCGACUCAGGGCCGGCUAAUUCCGUGCCAGCAGCCGCGGUAAUACGGAAGGCCGGAGCGUUAUCCGGAUUCAUUGGGCUUAAAGGGCGCGUGGGCGGGCGUUCAAGUCAGCUGUAAAAUCGCGCGGCUCAACCGCGCCCCGCAGUUGAAACUGGACGCCUUGAGUUCACAACAGGCAGGCGGAAUUCGUGGUGUAGCGGUGAAAUGCAUAGAUAUCACGAGGAACCCCGAUUGCGAAGGCAGCCUGCCGGGGUGCGACUGACGCUGAGGCUCGAAGGUGCGGGUAGCAAACAGGAUUAGAUACCCUUGUAGUC